CUGAUGCGCGUCGAUCGGAACUUCGGAC
This 28-nucleotide small RNA is filed under the name Bombyx mori (domestic silkworm). RNAcentral describes it as "ovarian small RNA-4966". The record is from RNAcentral. Lineage: Eukaryota; Metazoa; Arthropoda; Insecta; Lepidoptera; Bombycidae.